This 955-nucleotide ribosomal RNA is filed under the name uncultured Neocallimastigales. RNAcentral describes it as "partial large subunit ribosomal RNA". The stretch from base 161 to 955 matches the Rfam family "Eukaryotic large subunit ribosomal RNA", at positions 1 to 621 of the family's 3401-position model. The record is from RNAcentral. Lineage: Eukaryota; Fungi; Neocallimastigomycota; Neocallimastigomycetes; Neocallimastigales.
CGCAUCUGUGCAUGCAGCAUAUCAAUAAGCGGAGGAAAAGUAAAUGCUGUAUACCUACGCUUAGGAUGUUGACACACGCGCGUGCUCGACUCUACACAUGACUCUGCGCAUAUCAAUAAGCGGAGGAAAAGCUGUUACCUACGCUUAGGAUGUUGACACACGCGCGUGCUCGAUGAUAGUCUAUACAUGACUCUGUGCAUAUCAAUAAGCGGAGGAAAAGAAACUAACAAGGAUUCCCUCAGUAACGGCGAGUGAAGCGGGAAGAGCUCAAAUUUGAAAUCUUCAAGGUUUUACCUUGACGAAUUGUAGUUUAAAGAAGUGUUUUCUGUUGAAGUUUUGGUAAAAGUUCUUUGGAAUAGGACAUCAUAGAGGGUGAGAAUCCCGUAUUUGACCAUUAUUUUCAGCUGUGUGAUACACUUUCAAAGAGUCGGAUUGUUUGGGAAUGCAGUCCAAAAUGGGUGGUAAAUUUCAUCUAAAGCUAAAUAUUGGCGAGAGACCGAUAGCGAACAAGUACCGUGAGGGAAAGAUGAAAAGAACUUCGAAAAGAGAGUUAAACAGUACGUGAAAUUGUCAAAAGGGAAGCGUUUGACACCAGUGUUGUUUUCUCGAAAAUCAAUUAAAAAGAGUUUGAUUUUGUUGUGUAUUGACCUUAACAGCUUGCAUUUCAAUUUUCUUGCUUUUUUUAAUGCACUUUUCGUUUAACAAGUCAACAUCAGUUUCUUUUGUUGUAAAAAGGUCAUUGGAAGGUGGCUUUCUUUUCGGAGAAAGUGUUUAUAGCCUUUGACUCCUGCAAUCGGAGAGACUGAGGUCCUGCAGCGUAGAUCCUUCGGGGUUAGAUACAUUUGUGCUAAGUUAUAGCUUUUUAUAGACAACUUGUUGACUAUGAUUAGUCUUGUAGCUUACUCGCUUAUGCUAUUUUACCUACGCUUAGGAUGUUGACACACGCGCGUGCUCG